AACGAACGCUGGCGGCAUGCCUAACACAUGCAAGUCGAACGAGACCUUCGGGUCUAGUGGCGCACGGGUGCGUAACGCGUGGGAACCUGCCCUUAGGUUCGGAAUAACUCCCCGAAAGGGGUGCUAAUACAGGAUAAUGUCUUCGGACCAAAGAUUUAUCGCCUUUGGAUGGGCCCGCGUUGGAUUAGCUAGUUGGUAGGGUAAAAGCCUACCAAGGCGACGAUCCAUAGCUGGUCUGAGAGGAUGAUCAGCCACACUGGGACUGAGACACGGCCCAGACUCCUACGGGAGGAAGCAGUGGGGAAUAUUGGACAAUGGGCGAAAGCCUGAUCCAGCAAUGCCGCGUGAGUGAUGAAGGCCUUAGGGUUGUAAAGCUCUUUUACCCGGGAUGAUAAUGACAGUACCGGGAGAAUAAGCUCCGGCUAACUCCGUG
This 433-nucleotide ribosomal RNA is filed under the name uncultured bacterium. RNAcentral's name for it is "partial 16S ribosomal RNA". It matches the Rfam family "Bacterial small subunit ribosomal RNA", at positions 29 to 507 of the family's 1533-position model. The record is from RNAcentral.